Molecule: ribosomal RNA, 450 nt
Filed under: uncultured bacterium
Lineage: Bacteria
Description: bacterial SSU rRNA
Rfam family: Bacterial small subunit ribosomal RNA
Source: RNAcentral
AACGAACGCUGGCGGCAUGCCUAACACAUGCAAGUCGAACGAGACCUUCGGGUCUAGUGGCGCACGGGUGCGUAACGCGUGGGAAUCUGCCCUUGGGUUCGGAAUAACAGCGAGAAAUUGCUGCUAAUACCGGAUGAUGACGUAAGUCCAAAGAUUUAUCGCCCAAGGAUGAGCCCGCGUAGGAUUAGCUAGUUGGUGAGGUAAAGGCUCACCAAGGCGACGAUCCUUAGCUGGUCUGAGAGGAUGAUCAGCCACACUGGGACUGAGACACGGCCCAGACUCCUACGGGAGGCAGCAGUGGGGAAUAUUGGACAAUGGGCGAAAGCCUGAUCCAGCAAUGCCGCGUGAGUGAUGAAGGCCUUAGGGUUGUAAAGCUCUUUUACCCGGGAUGAUAAUGACAGUACCGGGAGAAUAAGCUCCGGCUAACUCCGUGCCAGCAGCCGCGGUAAU